GCCGGGCAUGGUGGUGCACGCCUGUGAUCCCAGCAGCUCAGGAGGCUGAGGCAGGAGGAUCACAAGUUCAAAGCCAGCCUCAGCAACUUGGUGAGGCCCUAUCUCAA
This 107-nucleotide small RNA is filed under the name Marmota monax (woodchuck). The record is from RNAcentral. Lineage: Eukaryota; Metazoa; Chordata; Mammalia; Rodentia; Sciuridae.